This is a transfer RNA of 74 nucleotides. It matches the Rfam family "tRNA". From Rfam's summary of the family: Transfer RNA (tRNA) molecules are approximately 80 nucleotides in length. The record is from Rfam.
GGGCAAUUAGCUCAGUUGGAUAGAGCGUUGGCCUCCGGAGCCAAAGGCCGCAGGUUCGAAUCCUGCAUUGCCCA